UCCAUCUUGACUUGUCCAGGGCCUCUUGC
This 29-nucleotide non-coding RNA is filed under the name Mus musculus (house mouse). The record is from RNAcentral. Lineage: Eukaryota; Metazoa; Chordata; Mammalia; Rodentia; Muridae.